AACAGGAUUAGAUACCCUGGUAGUCCACGCUGUAAACGAUGUCGACUUGGAGGUUGUGCCCUUGAGGCGUGGCUUCCGGAGCUAACGCGUUAAGUCGACCGCCUGGGGAGUACGGCCGCAAGGUUAAAACUCAAAUGAAUUGACGGGGGCCCGCACAAGCGGUGGAGCAUGUGGUUUAAUUCGAUGCAACGCGAAGAACCUUACCUACUCUUGACAUCCAGAGAAUUUGCUAGAGAUAGCUUAGUGCCUUCGGGAACUCUGAGACAGGUGCUGCAUGGCUGUCGUCAGCUCGUGUUGUGAAAUGUUGGGUUAAGUCCCGCAACGAGCGCAACCCUUAUCCUUUGUUGCCAGCACGUAAUGGUGGGAACUCAAAGGAGACUGCCGGUGAUAAACCGGAGGAAGGUGGGGAUGACGUCAAGUCUUCAUGGCCCUUACGAGUAGGGCUACACACGUGCUACAAUGGCAUAUACAAAGAGAAGCGAACUCGCGAGAGCAAGCGGACCUCAUAAAGUAUGUCGUAGUCCGGAUUGGAGUCUGCAACUCGACUCCAUGAAGUCGGAAUCGCUAGUAAUCGUAGAUCAGAAUGCUACGGUGAAUACGUUCCCGGGCCUUGUACACACCGCCCGUCACACCAUGGGAGUGGGUUGCAAAAGAAGUAGGUAGCUUAACCUUCGGGAGGGCGCUUACCACUUUGUGAUUCAUGACUGGGGUGAAGUCGUAACAAGGUAACC
RNAcentral lists this ribosomal RNA (731 nucleotides) under uncultured bacterium. Its description in RNAcentral is "bacterial SSU rRNA". It matches the Rfam family "Bacterial small subunit ribosomal RNA", at positions 771 to 1501 of the family's 1533-position model. The record is from RNAcentral.